RNAcentral lists this long non-coding RNA (2909 nucleotides) under Canis lupus familiaris (dog). RNAcentral describes it as "lncRNA (ENSCAFG00000052623.1)". Lineage: Eukaryota; Metazoa; Chordata; Mammalia; Carnivora; Canidae. The record is from RNAcentral.
UUUUUUGACCACAGUUACAAAUGUGAAAAUAUAUUAAGCAAAUACAUAAUUUAAAUAGGAAGACUAGAGAAGUUCUUUGUUCAACUAGAGCCGGUUAGAAACACAGUAUUGCGGGGAGGUACAAUAGUAUGAAAAAAUAAAAUCAUCUACUGCCAUUUUAAAUAACCAGAUUUGCAGAGAAAGAAUACAUGAUAUUAAAAACAUAAAAGUGCUCUAUUAUAGAACAUAAUAUGUUCACUUGCUGGAUUUAUUUACAGUGUUUACUCAAGCCGCACGUAACUCAAGGAAUAGCUAGCUGAACCUCCUUGGACCGUAGUGGAUGGUGGUUUUGGACUCUGGCUACCUAACAUUCAAAGUACUGGGCCAGCAGCAGUUUCUGAUCAAGAAACAUAUGCUGAAUGUGUGUGCCGUGAAAUAAUUUCUACAAGGUAGCACCAGAGACAAGAUUGAAGACUUGAUCCUUGUCUUUGUAGAAUUUAUCAGCCUGAUGGGUCCUACAUGGGGGACCAGAGCUCAAGGGCCCUUCAGGCAAGAACACGGGUGCACCCGGUAGUCAGUGUGGCUGAGAGCAAGAACUUUCACAAGGGCCGCUGCAGACUCUCCCCAGACUUGCAGAGGGAACACUGUCCCACUGUGCUACACACUCCUAACACUACAACUGCAUAUGCUCCUUUCUGCUGGGAUGCUUAUUUACUGGCUCAGCUAUUAAAAUACAACAUCUCACGCAUAACACAAAGCUUGCUCUUAGGGCGAAGACGGUCUUUCCUAAAAGACAUUACUUAAGGCAGAGAGAACAGCCAUAGCUAACAUUUUUUGACAUGACUCUAGAAGGGGCACAUUACAUUUGUCUGACAUUAUUCACAGUGUUCAACAACUUAUUUUCGUAACUUAUGUGAGAUCAUGUACAUUGGCAUAUAGGCUAUAAAAAUAAUCUUUGGUAAAUCUGUUAAUAGAUUUCUUGAUCUCCAUUACAUAAACCUCUAUUUUUAAGAGCAUUCACUAACAAUUUCCUUAUCUCAUGAAUGUAUCUAUAUAGGCAACCUUUAAAAAAAAUAAAAUGCCUUAUUUUUGUUGCAUACAUUUAUUCCUAGGGAGCCUCCCUACAAGUCAAGAGUAUUCUUUUAGUCAGAAAUAUUUCCAUUGCUAGAAACAUUUUUAGAACAGAGCAGAUUUCUGCUAUUACCAUGGCUGUAUCAAAUGUUACCCUGCAUUUUAACUAAAAUGGCCACUUUCAAAGGCAUCAUCCACUACAAGAAUCUAAGGUAGUGUGGUUGGAUUCCAAGCUAAGUCCAUGUAGUCAAACACAUGGUCAAUUCACAAAACUAAAUGAAUCUCAAUUCAGUUGCUUAAUUGGCUAAAUCAUCUGGCUGAUGAAAUAAGAGAGCACCCCCCCCCCCCCCACCAAGGAUAAUAUGUCCUAAUAGAAAUACGACAUUCUUCUGAGAAUAGUCUGGACACAGAGAAAGGAUGCCAUUUUGUCUUCCGGAUGACAUCUGGUUAGAUUCCCUUUCUCAGAUAUUUCCCCUUCUUCGUAUCAUUUCAUUUGUUUUCUGCAGUCAUGGUUUACAGAUUUUCCUCUGAUAUGAAACCUUCCUUGAAUACUUGAUGUGAUUUGAAAUCUUGGGUUAAAAAUAUUCAGAAAUGUAACAGGGCUUUUGGGCUGAUUAGGGCCUUUCCACUCUGACUCUUCCUAGGUGUGAGGUGGGGUCGAGGGCUGCUCACGGCCAUCUGGGGGAGGACCAGCCAUUCCUUCUUGCCACUCUGUCUUGGCUGGUGAAUUACUUUCAUUUCCUCUGUGAAAUGGAACCUGGACAGUCCUUGAACUACUACCUCAAACAAGCAGCUUAUUUCCUAUUGCCUUUCAAUACCAGGUCACGUUUGGGGUGGCUCAGGUGAGUGGACUGAAACUCUAGAGCCUCCCAGGGCUGGGGCCAGGUCCUAUCAUUUGCUGUCACACAGAUCCGGCCAGCUUAGACUUCUAGGUUCCAAUCUCAGAGACUCAGAAAGCCAAGUAAUUUGGAAUUCAGUAUAUGGCCAGUAAUUUUCUUGCAAAAAAGUAAGGAGAAUAUUUAAUAUAAGAAACUGGAUCCUGAGACACUAAGGCAAGAGAUUCAGAGUGUGAAGUAUAGCAUGUGAGGUCUAUUUUUGUAUUGCUGGACAUCUGCUUGGUGGUUUCAUAUUAUUUUCACAUGUCAUUUUGGGCUUUCCUCCAAGAGGUAAUAACAAAAUUAAUUAAAGACCCUUCCAAAUAAAACUGUCCCCAACAUGUCUGUGGGCCAUGACCAUUUUAGUAUGUCACAGCGAAACCAUGGUCACCUCUGCUAUAACGUGGAGCCUGAGAAGACUAUGAAAUGCCAGUGAGUUGAAGGAGAUAAAAUGAACAGAAAAUAAAAUCACAUUCGACUGGGAAAGCAAACAUGCUCAAAAGAGGAGAAGGCAACAAGUUGUGAAAAAGAGGGACUCCGAAGUGUUAAGAGAUGGUGAAUUGCUCAGGACAAAUAUGUGCAGGCCCAGACAGGGAGAUGAGCCUUUGAAAACUCUGAUUCAAGAGCUGAAAACCUGGCUGCUAUCCAGGGAGCAGCAGAAUGAUAAUAGGAAAUCGAUUUAAUGAGUAGAGAUUAAAGGUGUUAAUUAUAAAGAACUUGGAUAAAUAAUUAUUAAGAUGCAAGACGGGACUCUCCUAAGAUGUGAUAGCUCACAAGCACUUUGACGGCUGGGUGAUUCAAGUGUAGUGGACAGGUGCAAACAGGAUGCCCACCACGGCAGGAAAUGGAAUGUUUACCAAGACCUAACACAUGAUGGGAUUAUAUUAAAAUAUGUCCAAUCGAGAUGAAUGUCAAGGAAACCUUCCCCCCCCCCUAAAUUUAAUAAACAGAUCAACUAGAUAAUGUAUUUAGUCCUUGGCGGUG